CCUACGGGAGGCAGCAGUGGGGAAUUUUGGACAAUGGGCGCAAGCCUGAUCCAGCAAUGCCGCGUGAGUGAAGAAGGCCUUCGGGUUGUAAAGCUCUUUUGUCAGGGAAGAAACGGGUGCGGCUAAUAUCUGCAUCUAAUGACGGUACCUGAAGAAUAAGCACCGGCUAACUACGUGCCAGCAGCCGCGGUAAUACGUAGGGUGCAAGCGUUAAUCGGAAUUACUGGGCGUAAAGCGUGCGCAGGUGGUUUUGUAAGUCUGUCGUGAAAUCCCCGGGCUCAACCUGGGAAUGGCGAUGGAGACUGCAAGGCUAGAAUCUGGCAGAGGGGGGUUAGAAUUCCACGUGUAGCAGUGAAAUGCGUAGAGAUGUGGAGGAACACCGAUGGCGAAGGCAGCCCCCUGGGUCAAGAUUGACGCUCAUGCACGAAAGCGUGGGGAGCAAACAGGAUUAGAUACCCUGGUAGUCCACGCCCUAAACGAUGUCUACUAGUUGUCGGGUCUUAAUUGACUUGGUAACGCAGCUAACGCGUGAAGUAGACCGCCUGGGGAGUACGGUCGCAAGNUUAAAACGUCAAAUGAAUUGACGG
This 587-nucleotide ribosomal RNA is filed under the name uncultured bacterium. RNAcentral's name for it is "bacterial SSU rRNA". It matches the Rfam family "Bacterial small subunit ribosomal RNA", at positions 338 to 916 of the family's 1533-position model. The record is from RNAcentral.